Molecule: ribosomal RNA, 440 nt
Filed under: uncultured bacterium
Lineage: Bacteria
Description: partial 16S ribosomal RNA
Rfam family: Bacterial small subunit ribosomal RNA
Source: RNAcentral
CCUACGGGAGGCAGCAGUGGGGGAUAUUGCACAAUGGGGGGAACCCUGAUGCAGCGACGCCGCGUGGGUGAAGAAGCGCCUCGGCGCGUAAAGCCCUGUCAGCAGGGAAGAAAAUGACGGUACCUGAAGAAGAAGCACCGGCUAACUACGUGCCAGCAGCCGCGGGAAUACGUAGGGGGCAAGCGUUAUCCGGAUUGACUGGGUGUAAAGGGGGCGCAGACGGCGAUGCAAGCCAGGAGUGAAAGCCCGGGGCCCAACCCCGGGACUGCUCUUGGAACUGCGUGGCUGGAGUGCAGGAGGGGCAGGCGGAAUUCCUGGUGUAGCGGUGAAAUGCGUAGAUAUCAGGAGGAACACCGGUGGCGAAGGCGGCCUGCUGGACUGCAACUGACGUUGAGGCCCGAAAGCGUGGGGAGCAAACAGGAUUAGAUACCCGGGUAGUC